This 478-nucleotide ribosomal RNA is filed under the name uncultured bacterium. RNAcentral describes it as "partial 16S ribosomal RNA". It matches the Rfam family "Bacterial small subunit ribosomal RNA", at positions 28 to 523 of the family's 1533-position model. The record is from RNAcentral.
GACGAACGCUGGCGGCGUGCUUAACACAUGCAAGUCGAACGGUAAGGCCCUUCGGGGUACACGAGUGGCGAACGGGUGGGCAACACGUGGGUGAUCUGCCCUGCACUUCGGGAUAAGCCUGGCUAACUGGGUCUAAUACCGGCUAGGACCCCUGGCUUCCUGCUUGGGGGUGGAAAGCUUUUGCGGUGGGGGAUGGCCCAGCGGCCUAUGAGCUUGUUGGUGGGGGAAUGGCCGACCAAGGGGAGGGCGGGUAGCCGGCCUGAGAGGGUGACCGGGCACACUGGGACUGAGAUACGGGCCGGACUCCUACGGGAGGCAGCAAUGGGGAAUAUUGCACAAUGGGCGCAAGCCUGAUGCAGCGACGCCGCGUGAGGGAUGACGGCCUUCGGGUCGUAAACCUCUUUCAGUAGGGACGAAGCGCAAGUGACGGUACCUACAGAAGAAGGACCGGCCAACUACGUGCCAGCAGCCGCAGUAA